Molecule: ribosomal RNA, 747 nt
Filed under: Vagococcus sp. T288
Lineage: Bacteria; Bacillati; Bacillota; Bacilli; Lactobacillales; Enterococcaceae
Description: bacterial SSU rRNA
Rfam family: Bacterial small subunit ribosomal RNA
Source: RNAcentral
GGGUGCUUGCACCCACCGAGAAAGAGGAGUGGCGGACGGGUGAGUAACACGUGGGCAACCUGCCCAUCAGAGGGGGAUAACACUUGGAAACAGGUGCUAAUACCGCAUAAUUCUUUUUGUCGCCUGACAGAAAGAUAAAAGACGCUUUCGGGUGUCACUGAUGGAUGGGCCCGCGCUGCAUUAGCUAGUUGGUGGGGUAACGGCUCACCAAGGCCAUGAUGCAUAGCCGACCUGAGAGGGUGAUCGGCCACACUGGGACUGAGACACGGCCCAGACUCCUACGGGAGGCAGCAGUAGGGAAUCUUCGGCAAUGGACGAAAGUCUGACCGAGCAACGCCGCGUGAGUGAAGAAGGUUUUCGGAUCGUAAAACUCUGUUGUUAGAGAAGAACAAGUGAGAGAGUAACUGUUCUCACCUUGACGGUAUCUAACCAGAAAGCCACGGCUAACUACGUGCCAGCAGCCGCGGUAAUACGUAGGUGGCAAGCGUUGUCCGGAUUUAUUGGGCGUAAAGCGAGCGCAGGCGGUUCCUUAAGUCUGAUGUGAAAGCCCCCGGCUCAACCGGGGAAGGUCAUUGGAAACUGGGGAACUUGAGUGCAGAAGAGGAGAGUGGAAUUCCAUGUGUAGCGGUGAAAUGCGUAGAUAUAUGGAGGAACACCAGUGGCGAAGGCGACUCUCUGGUCUGUAACUGACGCUGAGGCUCGAAAGCGUGGGGAGCAAACAGGAUUAGAUACCCCUGGUAGUCCACG